This 1574-nucleotide long non-coding RNA is filed under the name Stegodyphus dumicola. RNAcentral's name for it is "uncharacterized LOC118187685". The record is from RNAcentral. Lineage: Eukaryota; Metazoa; Arthropoda; Arachnida; Araneae; Eresidae.
UUAAAGUUAAUGACCUGAAACUGCAAUAGUAUAUUACAGUACAAGUGAAAACAUUGACAGUUUCACACACACGUUUGUCGGAUUUGAGCAAUGCUUAUGGGGUUCCACAGGUAUCUGUUUUGCAUAAAGUCCUUAAAAAUAUAUGUGUGUGUCAUCUGAGAAAUAUUUGGAAGCAUUAUUAUUUGGAAGCAUGUAUUAAAAAACGAUCUUCUCUGAAAUUUUGGAAAGUGCUUAAAAAACAAAGAUCGACGAGAUUGAAAAUUCUUGAAUUAAUUCUUCGCGUGUAAAGCAUUUUAUGAAUAUAAUUUUACGUGAAUAUAAAUUAAUUUUAUGAAAAUAAUUAAAUAAUUCAUAUAAAACAUUAAAAAAUGUGUUGGUAAUUUAAAAAAAAAACUGAUUCGUUUCAAAGCAGCAGUACUUGUUUUGAAAAGGCACACUAAAAGACAAAAUUAGCAAUAUAUCUUAUUUUUAGCCAAAAGGAGAGAAGUUGAUGAAAGCAAAUACAAUUUCUUAUAUCACUGGUACGACAUAAAAGAAUUAUUAAUUUUUAAUUAAAUUUGUUAUUUUUAAUACUUUGAUGUUAUUAGUAGAAUAUUUACCUCUCGUAUCACACAGUUUACACAUCAUGCUCUUAUCAUUAUUUUUGUAAAGAUCUGAUAAUGUUAUGAAUAAAUAUAUGUGAAAGUGCAACACAGUAUAAUUAAUAAAUUAUGUUUUUAAUGUCAUAUAUUUAUAUUUUGGUUGCAAAAAGUUUGUCUAAUUUUUAUACACGUACAACAUCGUUUGCGUUUAAAAACAACUAGCGAUAAUAAUGAAGUUCAGAAGCACCACGCAGAUUGCAUUCUUUUUUUGAGCUUUUUCUUUUCUAAAUAUUGUUUAAGCUGGCAACACUCAGUUUUAUUAAAAGGAAAGAAUGUAGAUGUAUUCAAAAUUUCAAGAGCUGAAUAUUUAUUCUUUGCGAAGAAUUCGAAUCUACACAGUUCCUGUUUAGUUCAUACAUCAAACAAGUACUGAACUUGGCUGUUGAAGUGUUAUUUUUAACCAAAUUAUACUGCGCUUAAGGGAGAGAAGGAUUUGAAGAGCUCAAGGAUUUGAAUUCUUUAAAUCCAUAUUCAGCUUCUCGCAGUCUUUUAUGAUUUGGACGCAGUGACAAAGAAAAUAUAAAAGCAUCACCGAAGAAAAACAUUGUAUAAUUCUGGUUCUGUUGAAGAUUUCUGACAAAAUUUAAUCUUGCUUUGCAUGAUUUUGGAAUUGGUGCGGAAACCUUUUUGCAUGGCGAUGGAUUUAAGGCUGUGGGCUUUGUACACAAUAUUCUCUCGUAUCUCCGUUCCAGAGAUGCAUUGUACAUAGUCCGCACAUGCGCGUUUGUAAAUGCACCCUUCUGGAACAUAGAUAUGGGCAGAAAACUUCUUCUCUUCUCUACAUCUUUUGCAUGCAUCUUCAUAAUCUAUUGUUCAUUUGGUGUAAAUUUUUCUUUAUAUUUUGAUUUUAUUUAUUUUGUGCAUACAUUGUUUAAUGCUUAUUUAUAUUAUAUUUUGAUUAUUGUAAAUAAACUGAGAAUUUCGUUAUGGUAA